UACGCGAGCUGGGUUCAGAACGUCGUGAGACAGUUCGGUCCCUAUCCGCCGUGGGUGUAGGAUAUUUGAGAAGAUCUGACCCUAGUACGAGAGGACCGGGUUGGACGAACCUCUGGUCAACCAGUUGUUCCGCCAGGAGCAUCGCUGGGUAGCUACGUUCGGAAGGGAUAAACGCUGAAAGCAUAUAAGCGUCAAGCCCACUUCAAGACUAGAUAUCCCGUAGGGUUAACCUACCUAAAGGCCCCUCGUAGACUACGAGGUUGAUAGGUUGCAGGUGGAAGCGCAGCAAUGUGUGAAGCCGAGCAAUACUAAUUGGCCGUGAGGCUUGACCAU
This 333-nucleotide ribosomal RNA is filed under the name Candidatus Latescibacterota bacterium. Its description in RNAcentral is "partial 23S ribosomal RNA". It matches the Rfam family "Bacterial large subunit ribosomal RNA", at positions 2597 to 2925 of the family's 2925-position model. The record is from RNAcentral. Lineage: Bacteria; Pseudomonadati; Candidatus Latescibacterota.